AUAAAGGCUCCUUUUGGAGCCAUAGGCAAUAAACUUCCCCUUUCUGG
Molecule: non-coding RNA, 47 nt
Organism: Gavia stellata (red-throated loon)
Lineage: Eukaryota; Metazoa; Chordata; Aves; Gaviiformes; Gaviidae
Source: Rfam